This 505-nucleotide long non-coding RNA is filed under the name Physcomitrium patens. Its description in RNAcentral is "long non-coding RNA (PPAT_LNC006656)". The record is from RNAcentral. Lineage: Eukaryota; Viridiplantae; Streptophyta; Bryopsida; Funariales; Funariaceae.
UUUGGUCCUAAAUCAGUAUAGUUAAUAUUACCAAAUAUUGUGAAAAUAAUGUUUGGUGAGAUGAUGUUUUGAAAAUAACUCAUUUGAAUAAUAUAGUUUUCAUUAAGAAACAAAACGGACAUUAUAAUGAUACAAAGAAAUCUACAUUAAUAAGGAGAUUCUAAAAAAUAACACAAAAACUCAAACUACUUGAAAAUAGUUACAUUAACCAAAAUAUUUGACAUAAACGUACUUUACAAAUAGUACUAACAAAAAGCAAAAAUGAACAACAAUAUACAUGGUUGCAAGAAGUGCUUUGACUUCCAUUGAUUUUUUUAAUUUGUAAGAAGAUUACCAUCUAUAUUAGUAAAUUUUCUUGAAAUUGGGGUAUCUAAUUAUAUUUUUUUUUGAAAUUCUUUUACUUGCCAUAACAAUAAUAAUCAUAAUAUAAUUACUUUAAUAUAAAAUGUGAAUUAUAUAAUUUUACACCUCAUUUUUUAUGCAUAUUUAUCUUAGAGUAUUUGAC